Molecule: unclassified non-coding RNA, 352 nt
Filed under: soil metagenome
Description: partial contains 5.8S ribosomal RNA, internal transcribed spacer 2, and large subunit ribosomal RNA
Rfam family: 5.8S ribosomal RNA (bases 1-119)
Source: RNAcentral
GAUGAAGAACGCAGCGAAAUGCGAUAAGUAAUGCGAAUUGCAGAAUCCGUGAGUCAUCGAAUCUUUGAACGCACAUUGCGCCCGCCAGUAUUCUGGCGGGCAUGCCUGUUCGAGCGUCAUUACAACCCUCAGGCCCCCGGGCCUGGCGUUGGGGAUCGGCGGAAGCCCCCUGCGGGCACAACGCCGUCCCCCAAAUACAGUGGCGGUCCCGCCGCAGCUUCCAUUGCGUAGUAGCUAACACCUCGCAACUGGAGAGCGGCGCGGCCACGCCGUAAAACACCCAACUUCUGAAUGUUGACCUCGAAUCAGGUAGGAAUACCCGCUGAACUUAAGCAUAUCAAUAAGCGGAGGA